RNAcentral lists this long non-coding RNA (5028 nucleotides) under Lactuca sativa (garden lettuce). Its description in RNAcentral is "long non-coding RNA (LSAT_LNC005338)". Lineage: Eukaryota; Viridiplantae; Streptophyta; Magnoliopsida; Asterales; Asteraceae. The record is from RNAcentral.
UAAAUAUAUACAGGGAAGCAAGAAAACCUAGGAAAAAUAGGAGAAAAUAAGGUAAAUAUAAGGACCCAUAUAUGGUCAAUAUAUGGUCAAUAAACGAUCUUCAAUACUCCCUCUCAAGCUGGAGCGUGGAUGUUAAGAACCUUCAGCUUGCCAAGAAGAAGAUUAAGUUGAGGAGCUCUCAGUCCUUUUGUAAAUAAAUCAACUAUCUUCAUUUUCGAAGAGAUGGGAAGAACACUCACUUCCUCACUUUCAAGUCUUUCACGAACGAAGUAGCAAUCCAUCUCUACAUGUUUGGUCCUUUCGUGGAAAACCGGGUUGUUGGUGAUGUGUCUAGUGGCCUAGUUAUCACAAAACAAAGGAGUUGGUCUGUCAAUGGUAACAUCGAGUUCUCUUAGAAGCCAACGCAUCCAUAAGAGUUCACUAACGGUGGAUGCCAUUGAGCGAUAUUCCGCCUUGGCAGAUGAGCGCGAAACGACAGACUGUUUUUUUGUUUUCCACGAAAUAGGAGCUCCCCCUAAGAGAAGGACAUAACCGGUCCUAGAUCGUUUAGAAAAUGGGCAGCCAAGCCAAUCAGAAUCGCUGUAUGCUGUGAGAUUGUAGCCUCCACCAUGAGGAUGAAGAAUCCCUUGUCCAGGAGUGGCUUUAAGAUACCGUAAGACAUGAUGAGCUGCAUCAAGGUGGUUUUGUCUAGGAUCUGCAACAAAUUGACUUAAGACAUUCACAUCAUAUGUGAUGUCCGGACGAGUAGCUUGUAAAUAAAGAAGUCGGCCAACCAUUCUUCGAUAUUGACUGCUAUCAACCUUUGGUUCUUUCUCUCCUUUAUCGAGCUUUAAGUUAGGAUCGAUAGGGAAUGAGCUAGGGCGACACCCUUGAAAACGGCAAUCUUCAAGAAUAUUCAAAGUAUACUUUCUUUGACUAAAAAAACAUUCCCUUUGAAGUCUGUAUUACCUCUAUACCAAGAAAGUAGCUGAGAGUCCCUAAAUCUUUUAUGUUGAAUCGUCUAUCCAAAUCAGCCUUUACAAAAUCAAUCUUCUCUUUUUCAUUUCCAACAAUUAUGACAUCAUCUACAUAUAUCAAAGCUGCAACGAAAUUGUUGUUUUGUUUGUAAAUGAAGAGGGAGUAAUCGACCUUGCACUGUUUAAAACCGAGAUCAAUGAGGGAGGCAGUGAAUUUUUGGUACUAGUUGUGGGAUGCAUGUUUGAGCCCAUUAAGAGACUUUCUUAAUCUACAAACUCUUGUUUCGUUUUCUUUAGCGAAACCUUGUGGAAUCUUCAUAUAGACUUCCUCAUUAAGAUCUCCAUGUAGGAAGGCAUUAUUAACGUCAAGUUGGUUAAUGAGCCAGUUUUUCUUGGUAGCUACGGCUAAAAGGGUCCUAACCGUGACCAACUUUACCACUGGAGCAAAUGUGUCAUGAUAAUCAACCCCUUCUUGUUGUGUAAAUCCCUUUGCUACAAGGCGACCCUUGUAUCGUUCAACUUCACCAUUGGGUUUGUAUUUAACCUUGUACACCCAUUUUGAGUCUAUGGCACGCUUUCCUUUAGGCAAAUUUUCAAGAGUCCAAGUUCCAUUUUCUUCAAGGGCCUGGAUCUCCUUUUUUCAUAGCAUCUCUCCAUUUUUCAUCCUGCAUGGCUUGAUUAAAGUUCUUUGGUUCAUCGUUGGAUUCGAUGGCCGCUAAGAAGCUUUUGUGAGAAUUAGAAAAAUUAUCAUAUGAGACAAAGUUAGAAAUAGGAUGUACCGUGGAGGGGUCUUGAUUGGAAACGGGCCUCGAGUGGUCUAUCGAUGAAGGCAGGUCAACAUGAAAGUCUUUGAGAUGAGCCAUCUGUGUUUUGGUUCUUUUAGCACGUUCCUGCGCAAAAACGGUUUCCCUAUUGUUUUCGAAAUGAGGUGUUUGAAUAUUUGAGUCAUGAUCCAAGUCUUCUUGCACUUCAUUUGUUUGACUAUAUUCCUGUGGUGAUCUAUUCAUUUCAAUAGAACCAUCAUUUAUUUCUUCAUUUUUCUCACAGUUUGCUUCGAUAUUUUUAAUUCCAAUGGGAUCUUUAAUCUGUUCAAAUAAAUCCUCAUGUAGGGGAUUAGGACUAACCUCCUUAAAAGGGAAGAUGUCUUCACAAAAUUUGGUGUCUCUAGAUACAAUAACUUUCUUGUACUCUAGAUCGUAAAUCUUGUAACCCUUUGUCCCGGGUGGGUAACCCAAGAAAACUCCCGGCCUACCUCUUGUUUCGAACUUGUCUCCACCGUGGUUAGUGUUCCGGUAGUAAACAAGACAUCCAAAAACUCUCAUGAAGUCAUAGUCCGAAUUUUCUUUGCGAAGUAGCUUGAAAGGAGAUUUAUCAUUGAUUACCUUGGAUGGUAACCGGUUAAUGAUAUGAGUUGCGGUCAAGACACAUUCUCCCCAGAACUGCUUAGGGAGUUUUGCCUCAAAUCUUAAGGCCCUAGCCAUCUCGAGAAGGUGUCGAUGCUUUCUUUUAACAACUCCGUUCUGUUGAGGCGUAUGGAUGCAAGUAGUCUCAAGUAAAAUGUCGUUUUCUUGGUAGAAAGACAACAUUUCGUUCGAUGUAAAUUCUCCCCCAUUGUCACACCUAAUUCUUUUAAUAUCUUUGUCAAAUUGCGUUUGAAUCAUUUUGUGAAAUGACUUUAAAUGACUACUUGCUUCAUGCUUAAACUUUAAAAGAAACAACCAAACAGAUCUACUAUAAUCAUCUACAAUGGUCAAAAAAUAUCGUGCCCCAGUGGAGGAAGGUGUACGAUAAGCACCUUAAAUAUCACAAUGCAUUAAAUCAAAACAAUCCUUGGUUUUAGUAACACUACUUGAAAAAGAAGACUUGGUAUAUUUAGCCCUUGAACAGGAAUCACACACAUCACUUAAAAUAAUAUUUUUAAGAAAACUAAUCUUGUUAAGUUUUGGAGCGGAAGCAUGUCCUAAUCUUCUGUGCCAUGUAUCAUGUGUAACAGCCAUAGCCUUUCUCUCACUUCUGACCAUGCCCAUCCGAUAAAGACCCUUCUCGCGUUUACCCGCACCAAUCAAGACUCUCGUGGAAAGGUUCUGCAUGACACAAAAAUCAGGGCAGAAUGAGACAACACAUUGUAAAUCGUUAGAUAAUUUUCCAACAGAUAACAAAUUACAAUUAAAAUCCGGGACAUAAAGCACGUCUUUGAUCUUAGUACCCCCUGUGAGGGUACAUUCACCUUUUCCUUUGACAGGAACCUUGAUACCAUUAGCGACAGUAACAUGUGCUUCAAACUUGGCUUCAGUUCUGUUAUAAAGACAAUUCGGAUUGUAAGUUAUGUGUUCUGUGGCUCCUGAGUCCACCACCCACUCGUCAUGAUCUUCCUGUUUACCUGCGAGAUUCGCAACACGUGGUUUCUCACUCCUUUGGUUGUCAUUAUCUUGUUUGAAAGUCUUUAGGAACAACUCGUAUUGCUCCUUUGAAAGUCCCGGGAUAGGACUUGAAUCGUUCUCUGCAUAGGCGGCUUUGUUUCCAUCACGUUUCACUUGGUUGCCUGGCCACCAUUCAGGAUACCCAAUCACCUUGAAGCAUCCUUCUUUGUUGUGUCUGUCUCUCCCACAAACAGUGCAGUUUUGCACCAUGUCACUGCGUUUCCCAUCUCUUGAACUGCUUUUGUCUCGUUUCACAACAUCUCGUCUUCCAUUGUUUUCUUUUCGGUUCUGGAAGGAGGCCUUGAAGGCGAUGGCUUCACUCGCUGGUUUCCUGUCUGAGAAAAUGGUUCUUUGUCUCUCAUCCUCGGCUACCAUAUGAUAAGCAUUGCUCAAAGUAGGAAUUGGUUUGGUAGCCAAGAUAUGUGUUCUGAUUACUGUGAAGUCGCUGUUUAGUCCCAUGAGGAAUUCGUAGAGCCUCUCCUUCUCCUUUGCUUCGCUUAGUCGUUUCCCGAUGUCACAAUUGCACUUAUUGCAGAUGCAUUGGGGCGUGGGCAUUACAGAACCAACUUCAUCCCAAAGGCUGCGGAGUUUAGUGUAGUAGGCUGAAACAGAGGUUGCAGAUUGUUGUGUUGUGGUUAGGGCAAGUUUUAACUCAUAGGCUCUAGGAGCACUUUCUUUUCCAAAUCUUUCCUGUAGACCGGACCAGAUUUCAUAAGCCGUUCCAGCAUACUUCACGCUGCUUCUUAUCUCCUUUUCCAUGGCUGUUGUGAGCCACCCUUUUACCAUGGCAUCACAACGCAUCCAAGGCAUAUAGUUAGGUGUUUCUUUGUCGGGUUUUUUGAUCGUGCCAUCAACAAAUCCUACCUUGUUUUUGGCGAGCAAGAAAUUCAUCAUCUCUUGAGACCAAUCUGUGUAGUUGUGAUCUUUGAGAAGAUCGUUUAUGUGUAGUUGUUUUGGGUAGUCCGAGGCAUGAACGUAAUAAGGUGAGUUCACGUUGGGACCAUCUUCAUCCUUGUUUCCACUGGCGCUGCCUUUUUCUCCUGUCAUGAUGCGGACAGGACAGAACUGAUCGAGAUUUGGGUUGCUGAGUUUAGAAUAUGAUCGAUGAAAACUACUCUGAUACCAUAUUGGGUUUGAUAACAGAGAGCAGCCAAGAUAAUUGGUAUUUCAUUAAUUUUCUUAAUUUAAUCCAAAAGCGUUCAAGGAAUAAAUAUAUACAGGGAAGCAAGAAAACCUAGGAAAAAUAGAAGAAAAUAAGGUAAUGAUAAGGACACAUAUAUAUUCUAAACCAUUCAUUAAACCUUUUACCGGUUUAACGCACCCCCUGCCUAAGCGUUAUCUAUUUAACCCACCCCCUCCCAAAANAAAAAAAAAAAAAAAAAAAAAAAAAAAAAAAAAAAAAAAAAAAAACUUUAGACGAGUUCUUUUAAAGUAACCUAUUUUUAUUUUAGAUAAACCAAUAAUCCGUUUGAAAUAUUUUAAUUAACUAUUAAUUUUAAUGCAAAUCACUUGAAUCUAAUAAAAUCAUGACAAAACUUAUAUCAUAAAACAUUAAGUUGAGACGAUUCAACCAACAUCACUUCUUUUUGGAGAUUGAAACGUCACCUUGAAAACUGUUAAAAACAUUUAUAACAAAUAAAAUAUUUAGCUAC